RNAcentral lists this unclassified non-coding RNA (377 nucleotides) under uncultured Actinomycetes bacterium. Its description in RNAcentral is "uncultured actinobacterium contains 16S-23S intergenic spacer region". The record is from RNAcentral. Lineage: Bacteria; Bacillati; Actinomycetota; Actinomycetes.
UCACUACUUACGUAGGCAGUCUCUUUAGAGUCCCCAGCAUAACCUGAUGGCAACUAAAGAUAGGGGUUGCGCUCGUUGUGGGACUUAACCCAACACCUCACGGCACGAGCUGACGACAGCCAUGCAGCACCUGUACACCGACCACAAGGGGGGCACCAUCUCUGGCGCUUUCCGGUGUAUGUCAAGCCUUGGUAAGGUUCUUCGCGUUGCGUCGAAUUAAGCCACAUGCUCCGCCGCUUGUGCAGGCCCCCGUCAAUUCCUUUGAGUUUUAGCCUUGCGGCCGUACUCCCCAGGCGGGGCGCUUAAUGCGUUAGCUUCGGCACGGACGGAGUCGACACCGCCCACACCUAGCGCCCAUCGUUUACGGCGUGGACUAC